Non-coding RNA from Poecilia reticulata (guppy), 519 nucleotides. The record is from RefSeq and is a predicted model, not a curated record. Lineage: Eukaryota; Metazoa; Chordata; Actinopteri; Cyprinodontiformes; Poeciliidae.
UGACUGUGAAGAUGACAAUCUCACUAAGUACUCAAGAUAUAUUGAAAGUUUUUCAUGCUGUUAUUUAUUUGUUUCAUAAACAGUUUUUAAACAGCAAAAACAAACUUUGAAAACAAAAAUAACUAAAAUUAAUUAAGCACGUUAGAAAGUCAAUGCUCCAUUUGUUCAGUCAGAAUCUGCAUGUAGGUUUGGAUUUUCCAGGAUCAUUUUUCCUUCCUGUUUGUGGUUUAGAAAUGCUCCCACCUCCCAUCUGUGGUUUAAAUAUUCAAAUUAUGUCAUAUCCACCAUUUCAGAUCUACAGUAGAGCUGUGUUAGUGGAGUUGUAGUUGUCACCAAGGAAAGACGUGAAUCUACUGAGGAAAGUUUGAACAAAACAAGGAGAAAAAGUCAACAAGAUAGACAAACUGCUGGAGGAAAAUAAUUCAUCUGACAGCAAAGAUGCAGUGGAGUCUGAUUCUGCUCUUCCUGAUGGGUCAGUGUUGUUUGAUGGACUGUCAGCUCUAUGAGUUUCACUACAUU